RNAcentral lists this long non-coding RNA (234 nucleotides) under Trifolium pratense (red clover). Its description in RNAcentral is "long non-coding RNA (TPRA_LNC007776)". The record is from RNAcentral. Lineage: Eukaryota; Viridiplantae; Streptophyta; Magnoliopsida; Fabales; Fabaceae.
UCUGAAACACAAGCUCUGAAGUACUUAACUCUGAUAGAGAAUUUUAAAUAUCUUAGAGGCUCUGAACUAUUUAAGUGGGAAACGUUUAGUAUUCACUGCUGAACAGUUUUCCAUUAAAAUAGCAGUUACCGAGUAAAUUUCUGCACGUGGUCUACGUGUGUCAGGUAGUGGGUGGUUAAUGAUGAUUUUUGGUAUUCAACUUUCUGUCAAUUAGCGUAACUUCCCAAAUUUGCC